RNAcentral lists this ribosomal RNA (1039 nucleotides) under uncultured Campylobacterota bacterium. RNAcentral describes it as "bacterial SSU rRNA". It matches the Rfam family "Bacterial small subunit ribosomal RNA", at positions 35 to 1087 of the family's 1533-position model. Lineage: Bacteria; Pseudomonadati; Campylobacterota. The record is from RNAcentral.
GCUGGCGGCGUGCUUAACACAUGCAAGUCGAACGGUAACAGAAAGAGCUUGCUCUUUGCUGACGAGUGGCGCACGGGUGAGUAAUAUAUAGUUAACGUGCCUCUUAGCCUGGGAUAGCCACUGGAAACGGUGAUUAAUACUGGAUACUCCUUUUACUUUCAAGAGUAAUUGGGAAAGGUUUUUCGCUAAGAGAUCGGACUAUAUUGUAUCAGCUAGUUGGUGAGGUAAGAGCUCACCAAGGCAAUGACACAUAGCGGGUUUGAGAGGAUGAUCCGCCACACUGGUACUGAGACACGGACCAGACUCCUACGGGAGGCAGCAGUGAGGAAUAUUGCACAAUGGAGGAAACUCUGAUGCAGCAACGCCGCGUGGAGGAUGACGCAUUUCGGUGUGUAAACUCCUUUUAUAAGAGAAGAAAAUGACGGUAUCUUAUGAAUAAGUCCCGGCUAACUCCGUGCCAGCAGCCGCGGUAAUACGGAGGGGACAAGCGUUAUUCGGAAUCACUGGGCGUAAAGGACGCGUAGGCGGGUUAUUAAGUCGGGUGUGAAAUCCAAUGGCUCAACCAUUGAACUGCAUUCGAAACUGAUAACCUAGAGUAUGGAAGGGGCAGGUGGAAUUAGUGGUGUAGGGGUAAAAUCCGUAGAUAUCACUAGGAAUACCGAAAGCGAAGGCGACCUGCUGGGACAUUACUGACGCUGAGGCGUGAAAGCGUGGGGAGCAAACAGGAUUAGAUACCCUGGUAGUCCACGCCCUAAACGAUGAAUGCUAGUCGUCGGGGCUCUAGUAGCUUCGGUGAUGCACUUAACAGAUUAAGCAUUCCGCCUGGGGAGUACGGUCGCAAGAUUAAAACUCAAAGGAAUAGACGGGGACCCGCACAAGUGGUGGAGCAUGUGGUUUAAUUCGAAGAUACGCGAAGAACCUUACCUAGCCUUGACAUUGAUUGAAUUUUCCAGAGAUGGAGAAGUGCCUUUCGGGGAACAUGAAAACAGGUGCUGCACGGCUGUCGUCAGCUCGUGUCGUGAGAUGUUGGGUUAAGUCC